Molecule: ribosomal RNA, 433 nt
Filed under: uncultured bacterium
Lineage: Bacteria
Description: partial 16S ribosomal RNA
Rfam family: Bacterial small subunit ribosomal RNA
Source: RNAcentral
AACGAACGCUGGCGGCAGGCCUAACACAUGCCAGUCGAGCGAGGACUUCGGUUCUAGCGGCGGACGGGUGAGUAACGCGUGGGAAUGUGCCCUUCUCUACGGAAUAGCCCUGGGAAACUGGGAGUAAUACCGUAUACGCCCUAUUGGGGAAAGAUUUAUCGGAGAAGGAUCAGCCCGCGUUGGAUUAGGUAGUUGGUGGGGUAAUGGCCUACCAAGCCGACGAUCCAUAGCUGGUUUGAGAGGAUGAUCAGCCACACUGGGACUGAGACACGGCCCAGACUCCUACGGGAGGCAGCAGUGGGGAAUCUUAGACAAUGGGGGCAACCCUGAUCGAGCCAUGCCGCGUGAGUGAUGAAGGCCUUAGGGUUGUAAAGCUCUUUCAGCUGGGAAGAUAAUGACGGGACCAGCAGAAGAAGCCCCGGCUAACUCCGUG